Molecule: ribosomal RNA, 2921 nt
Filed under: Lactiplantibacillus pentosus
Lineage: Bacteria; Bacillati; Bacillota; Bacilli; Lactobacillales; Lactobacillaceae
Description: 23S ribosomal RNA
Rfam family: Bacterial large subunit ribosomal RNA
Source: RNAcentral
GGUUAAGUUAACAAGGGCGCAUGGUGAAUGCCUUGGCACUAGGAGCCGAUGAAGGACGGGACUAACACCGAUAUGCUUCGGGGAGCUGUACGUAAGCUAUGAUCCGGAGAUUUCCGAAUGGGGCAACCCAGCAGUUUUAAUCAACUGUUACCACUAGAUGAAUUCAUAGUCUAGUUGGAGGUAAACGCUGUGAACUGAAACAUCUCAUUAGCAGCAGGAAUAUAAAGAAAUUUCGAUUCCCUAAGUAGCGGCGAGCGAACGGGGAACAGCCCAAACCAAAGUGCUUGCACUUUGGGGUUGUAGGACUGAACAUUUGAGUUACCAAAGAACUUGAUAGUCGAAGGAUUUGGGAAAAUCCGCCAUAGAUGGUGAUAGCCCAGUAGAUUAAAUCAAAUUCUCUCAGUUCAGGAUCCUGAGUACGGCGGAACACGUGAAAUUCCGUCGGAAUCCGGGAGGACCAUCUCCCAAGGCUAAAUACUACCUAGUGACCGAUAGUGAACCAGUACCGUGAGGGAAAGGUGAAAAGCACCCUGGGAGGGGAGUGAAAUAGUUCCUGAAACCAUGUGCCUACAAUAAGUCAGAGCGCGUUAAUGCGUGAUGGCGUGCCUUUUGUAGAAUGAACCGGCGAGUUAUGAUCCCGUGCAAGGUUAAGACUAAAAAGUCGGAGCCGUAGCGAAAGCGAGUCUGAAAUGGGCGAUUUGAGUACGAGGUUAUAGACCCGAAACCAGGUGACCUAUCCAUGUCCAGGUUGAAGGUGCGGUAAAACGCACUGGAGGACCGAACCCGUGUAAGUUGAAAAUUGCUGGGAUGAGGUGUGGAUAGCGGUGAAAUUCCAAACGAACUUGGAGAUAGCUGGUUCUCUCCGAAAUAGCUUUAGGGCUAGCCUCGGAUUAAGGAUCAUGGAGGUAGAGCACUAUUUGGACUAGGGGCCCGUCUUGGGUUACUGAAUUCAGAUAAACUCCGAAUGCCAUUGAUUCAUGUCCGGGAGUCAGACGAUGAGUGAUAAGAUCCACCGUCGAAAGGGGAACAGCCCAGACCAUCAGUUAAGGUCCCUAAAUGUAUGCUAAGUGGAAAAGGAUGUGGAGUUGCAUAGACAACUAGGAUGUUGGCUCAGAAGCAGCCACCAUUUAAAGAGUGCGUAAUAGCUCACUAGUCGAGUGAUCCUGCGCCGAAAAUGUACCGGGGCUAAGCAUACUACCGAAACCAUGGAUGCGACCAUUAGGUCGCGUGAUAGGAGAGCGUUCUAAGGGCGGUGAAGCAAGAUCGUGAGGACUUGUGGAGCGCUUAGAAGUGAGAAUGCCGGUAUGAGUAGCGAAAGAUAGGUGAGAAUCCUAUCCACCGAAUGACUAAGGUUUCCUGGGGAAGGCUCGUCCUCCCAGGGUUAGUCGGGACCUAAGUCGAGGCCGAGAGGCGUAGACGAUGGAUAACAGGUUGAGAUUCCUGUACUAGUUAAGUGCGUUUGAGCAAUGGAGGGACGCAGGAGGCUAAGAUGUGCAUUCUGUUGGAUUAGAAUGUCCAAGCAGUAAGUCUUGUGGAGAGUCAAAUGCUUUUCACUUUAAGGACAAGCUGUGAUGGGGAGCGAAAUUUAGUAGCGAAGCGUCUGAUGUCACACUGCCGAGAAAAGCUUCUAGUGAGUACUUAACUACCCGUACCGCAAACCGACACAGGUAGUCGAGGAGAGAAUCCUAAGGUGAGCGAGUGAACUCUCGUUAAGGAACUCGGCAAAAUGACCCCGUAACUUCGGGAGAAGGGGUGCUGAUCGCAAGAUCAGCCGCAGUGAAUAGGCCCAGGCGACUGUUUAUCAAAAACACAGGUCUCUGCAAAAUCGUAAGAUGACGUAUAGGGGCUGACGCCUGCCCGGUGCUGGAAGGUUAAAAGGAUGGGUUAGCUUCGGCGAAGCUCAGAAUUGAAGCCCCAGUAAACGGCGGCCGUAACUAUAACGGUCCUAAGGUAGCGAAAUUCCUUGUCGGGUAAGUUCCGACCCGCACGAAAGGCGUAACGAUCUGGGCACUGUCUCAACGAGAGACUCGGUGAAAUUAUAUUGUCCGUGAAGAUGCGGACUACCCGCGACAGGACGGAAAGACCCCAUGGAGCUUUACUGUAGCUUGAUAUUGAGUGUUUGUACAGCUUGUACAGGAUAGGUAGGAGCCAUAGAAACCGGAACGCUAGUUUCGGUGGAGGCGUUGGUGGGAUACUACCCUCGCUGUAUGACCACUCUAACCCGCACCACUAAUCGUGGUGGGAGACAGUGUCAGGUGGGCAGUUUGACUGGGGCGGUCGCCUCCUAAAAAGUAACGGAGGCGCCCAAAGGUUCCCUCAGAAUGGUUGGAAAUCAUUCGCAGAGUGUAAAGGCACAAGGGAGCUUGACUGCGAGACAGACAGGUCGAGCAGGGACGAAAGUCGGGCUUAGUGAUCCGGUGGUACCGUAUGGAAGGGCCAUCGCUCAACGGAUAAAAGCUACCCUGGGGAUAACAGGCUUAUCUCCCCCAAGAGUCCACAUCGACGGGGAGGUUUGGCACCUCGAUGUCGGCUCAUCGCAUCCUGGGGCUGUAGUCGGUCCCAAGGGUUGGGCUGUUCGCCCAUUAAAGCGGUACGCGAGCUGGGUUCAGAACGUCGUGAGACAGUUCGGUCCCUAUCCGUCGCGGGCGUAGGAAAUUUGAGAGGACCUGUCCUUAGUACGAGAGGACCGGGAUGGACAUACCUCUGGUGUACCAGUUGUGCCGCCAGGCGCAUCGCUGGGUAGCUACGUAUGGAUGUGAUAAACGCUGAAAGCAUCUAAGUGUGAAACACACCUCGAGAUGAGAUUUCCCAUUCCUUUAUGGAAGUAAGACCCCUGAAAGAUGAUCAGGUAGAUAGGUUAGAAGUGGCAGUGCGGUGACGCAUGAAGCGGACUAAUACUAAUCGGUCGAGGACUUAACCAA